This 671-nucleotide ribosomal RNA is filed under the name Prorocentrum belizeanum. RNAcentral's name for it is "eukaryotic LSU rRNA". It matches the Rfam family "Eukaryotic large subunit ribosomal RNA", at positions 38 to 657 of the family's 3401-position model. The record is from RNAcentral. Lineage: Eukaryota; Dinophyceae; Prorocentrales; Prorocentraceae.
GCAUAUUAGUAGGCGGCGGAAGAUAACCCAAAAGGGAUUCCUUCAGUAAUGGCGAAUGAACGGGGAAAAGCUCAGCAAAGAAAUCAGGGACCCCGGCCUUGAGUUGUGGACUUGAGAGGUAUUGCCAAUGGUGGCGCAGGUGCGGGCCUCUUGGAAAAGGGCACCACAGAGGGUGUGAGUCCUGUUUGUCAUCUGUAGUCCGCCAUGUACGGCAUGAUUCCUCAGAGUCACGUUCCUUGGAAUUGGAGCGCGAAGGUGGUGGUGGCUUUCAUCUCAAGCUAAGUAUGGGUUCGAGACCGAUAGCAAACAAGUACCAUGAGGGAAGAUUGAAAAGAGCUUUGGAAAGAGAGUUAAAAGUGCCCGAACUUGCUGAUAGGGAAGCGAAGGGAGCUGACGUUGCUUGGUGACAUAUUCCGCGCAAGAGUAGGAUGGGUUCUGAUUGCWAUCUGCGUAGUGCUUCUUGCCGUGCGUGUCGAUGCCAAGCAAUGAGUGGGGAGAGCACCAGGGAUAAUGAUUGUUUCUGUCCCCGGGUGGACGAAGGUGCCUGGUCGCAUCCAUUUGUGGGCUGAAACAAAUGGUGGCUGGUUGCAGCGCCCUGUGCCUGCUAGGCAGUUGGGGUGCAGCCCUGAUACGCAGACGAGGACAAAGUGCUUCUGUUCGACCCGUCUUGA